CCUACGGGUGGCAGCAGUGAGGAAUAUUGGUCAAUGGGCGGGAGCCUGAACCAGCCAAGUCGCGUGAGGGAAGACGGUCCUAUGGAUUGUAAACCUCUGUAGGCGGGGAGCAAUGCCGGGCACGCGUGCCCGGAGGGAGAGUACCCGCAGAAUAAGCAUCGGCUAACUCCGUGCCAGCAGCCGCGGUAAUACGGAGGAUGCGAGCGUUAUCCGGAUUUAUUGGGUUUAAGGGGUGCGUAGGCGGAUUUUUAAGUCAGCGGUAAAAUGUCCGGGCUCAACCCGGGCCGGCCGUUGAAACUGGGGAGCUUGAGUGGGCGAGAAGUAUGCGGAAUGCGUGGUGUAGCGGUGAAAUGCAUAGCUAUCACGCAGAACUCCGAUUGCGAAGGCAGCAUACCGGCGCCCGACUGACGCUGAGGCACGAAAGCGUGGGGAUCGAACAGGAUUAGAUACCCGGGUAGUC
This 460-nucleotide ribosomal RNA is filed under the name uncultured bacterium. RNAcentral describes it as "partial 16S ribosomal RNA". It matches the Rfam family "Bacterial small subunit ribosomal RNA", at positions 338 to 795 of the family's 1533-position model. The record is from RNAcentral.